Non-coding RNA from Schistosoma mattheei, 45 nucleotides. Lineage: Eukaryota; Metazoa; Platyhelminthes; Trematoda; Strigeidida; Schistosomatidae. The record is from Rfam.
ACCCAUCUGGCGAGUCCAAAAUAGGACGAAAUGAGCAUCCUGGAU